RNAcentral lists this ribosomal RNA (497 nucleotides) under uncultured bacterium. RNAcentral describes it as "partial 16S ribosomal RNA". It matches the Rfam family "Bacterial small subunit ribosomal RNA", at positions 28 to 507 of the family's 1533-position model. The record is from RNAcentral.
GAUGAACGCUGGCGGCGUGCCUAAUACAUGCAAGUCGAGCGGACGGACGCUAAUCUUGUUUCUCUGAUGUUUGCCGCGGACGUGUGUGUCACGCGUGGAUCCUCUCCCUGUCUUACUGGUAUCACUUCGAAACUCCGUCGCUAAUCCCGUAUAAUCUCUUGAUCCGCAUUGUUCGUUAGUGAAUUACGGUCUUUCUGUCUCUUAUCGCUGGUUACGCGCUGCUUUAGCUAGUUGUUACGGUACCGGCCUACCACGGCUACGAUGCGUAGCCGACCUGAGAGAGUGAUCGCCCACACGGGAACUGAGACACGGUCCAGACGACUACGGGAGGCAGCAGUAGGGAAUCUGCCGCAAUGGGGGAAAGUCUGACGGAGCAACGCGGAGUGAGUGAUGAAGGUCCUCGGAGCGUAAAACUCUGUUAUGAGGUAAGAACAGAUGUGGAAGGAACUGAGCACAGCGUGACGGUAACGAAUCAGAAAGCAACGGCUAACUACGUG